Molecule: ribosomal RNA, 465 nt
Filed under: Vreelandella stevensii
Lineage: Bacteria; Pseudomonadati; Pseudomonadota; Gammaproteobacteria; Oceanospirillales; Halomonadaceae
Description: partial 16S ribosomal RNA
Rfam family: Bacterial small subunit ribosomal RNA
Source: RNAcentral
CCUACGGGCGGCAGCAGUGGGGAAUAUUGGACAAUGGGGGGAACCCUGAUCCAGCCAUGCCGCGUGUGUGAAGAAGGCCCUCGGGUUGUAAAGCACUUUCAGUGAGGAAGAACGCCUGGUGGUUAAUACCCAUCAGGAAAGACAUCACUCACAGAAGAAGCACCGGCUAACUCCGUGCCAGCAGCCGCGGUAAUACGGAGGGUGCGAGCGGUAAUCGGAAUUACUGGGCGUAAAGCGCGCGUAGGUGGCUUGAUAAGCCGGUUGUGAAAGCCCCGGGCUCAACCUGGGAACGGCAUCCGGAACUGUCAAGCUAGAGUGCAGGAGAGGAAGGUAGAAUUCCCGGUGUAGCGGUGAAAUGCGUAGAGAUCGGGAGGAAUACCAGUGGCGAAGGCGGCCUUCUGGACUGACACUGACACUGAGGUGCGAAAGCGUGGGUAGCAAACAGGAUUAGAUACCCUGGUAGUC